This is an RNA transcript of Aquila chrysaetos chrysaetos, 11903 nucleotides long. It is a transcript of the gene named spidroin-2-like, with no coding region annotated. The record is from RefSeq and is a predicted model, not a curated record. The transcript has 6 exons. Lineage: Eukaryota; Metazoa; Chordata; Aves; Accipitriformes; Accipitridae.
UCACCUCCCUCGACCUGCUGGCCAUGCUUCUUUGAUGCAGCCCAGGGUACAGCUGGCUUUCUGGGCUGCAAAUACUAAGACUAUAUCUGAAUGUUCACAAAGUAAAGAGGUCUUUGGAACACCUCCGACUGAAUGCUAUUAAAAUCUUAAACCUAUUUGCCCAGUUGGGAUGACUUGUUAAUUAGGUAGACCUGGGCAAGAAUUUUCUGACACCAUCCAUUUCUAACAGAAAGGAAUUUUGACAAAGUCAAAGUAUUAUGUUUUUAACAAUCCAAUGUUCUAACUUUUUAUUAAAAAUGUAACAAUGUUAAGUGUCUUUUAGACUAUGUUAAGAGUGUGAAAAUAAUCAAAUUUAUCAGUGAGACAGAAAAUCCAGCUCCUAACCGAAUCUACAGUCCAGGAUUUCUGGACUGAUAUAUUUCUCUACAGAACACUGAAAAUAAUCUAUUUACUGACAGAACACAUUAUUUUCUUUAGCAUUUUCUUUUAUGUUCUUUAGCAUAAUGUUUAGUGUUGUUUAACUUUUUGUUAUUUGUUAUUUGAAUAAAAAAAAUUGUCUUCAUGAAACAAACAAAUACAAAUUGUUAAUGUGUUUAUUACACUUUUUUAAGUUCCCCUCUAUCUUAAAAAAGUCAGACAAGUGAAAUGAUAAAAAAAUAUAGGCACUUUGCCUCUGAAUUUCCAUUAUUAGCAGAAGAUUCAUUAACUUGAUUAAUGCAAGUACUGUAAUAUUGCAAGGGUUUUUUUCAAUUCUGUCUGGUUUUGGAGGCCUUGCAUUUCAGAUGACCUAAAAAUAGGAUAUUACAGCACAGAUCAUGCUACACAAACAGAUAUCAAAGAAAUACCAGAAUUAAAGGAGCUAGCUAUUGCUACGCAAGCUUUAAUCAAGGUAAAUUUGGAAAGUAUCAUAACAGAUACUUUCUGUACAUACAGACAGAGUUGUCUUCAUGCUCUAGAACGUGUACUUUUGUCACUGUCAUCUCUGUUUUGUGUAAUUCUUAAGGAAUCUGUUUUGGCUUUUCUUCUGUCUUCAUAUACCUAUUUCAGCUAAAUUAUAUAAAUUUCUGUUUUCAAAAUAGAAUAAUAUACAAGUAUUGAUAGAUGAAUUAGGGACUGGAUUGCUUGGCUAUCUGAAUCAGAGGAAAUUAUGUAGGGAUUAACAUUGUUUAAUGUACAAAAAAAGUUAAACAUAAGUGAAAAUUCUGAAGGUUUAAACUUAUCUAAUAGUGGCUAAGAGUCUGGAAUUAAAUGUGGGCCUGUCAGUUCCAUUGAUACUUGCCUGAUACCAGUUAUGAGUAUGGCUAAGGAGACCUCACACAUCUGAUCAAGGAGAUUAAAUAAAAUCACAUACAAAAGCAAAUUAGAAAGAAGAUCCAAAUGUGUUAUUGAUUAUUUGCACAAUUAUAUGUGUAUCUUCAGCAGUGUCUCACUGAAAUUUAAUGCAUAGACUUGGGAGGGAGGGUGCAGUACAUAAGGGGGCACAGUGCAGUCUGCUUAACGUAAAUGCCUUAGCAACUUGUGGUGGAAGACUGGUGCCUCUAGAGACCUGCAGAGGGAGGUCUGUUCCAUCAGAAUGAGGUGUUUCUUUCUGUCCCUUUACUGUGUAAGAAAUUAGGAAGGAAGGUGCUUCAGGAUAUAAAAUAAUUACGUGCACAAAAAAGUUAAUUUCCUAGGAAAAAAACCUUUUCUUUUUAGUUCUUUGGUGGUAUAUAUAGAGAUAAGAACUAAAAUUAAAUCCUUUUGGUACUAUUUUUAGAAGCAAUAUCUCAUUCUACCUCACAUCCCUGAAAGACUUCAGAGUAUUUUGCUUGUCUGAGCCACUGGCAAGCAGAAUGUUUUUCCUUUAACACUUCGUCUGUCACUUCUUGCUAAAAUGCAGUUAUUUUUAUUCUUUUUACCAUAAAAAUACUUUGCAGAGUGUUGAAUUAGGGUUUACCAUAAAAAUACUUUGCAGAGUGUUGAAUUAGGAUUUAUAAACAAGUUUUGACCACUUUCUGAGCUUACAUUUUGAUAUUUGUAUUGAUACAUAUGUGUGGGUCUCCUUUGCAGAAUCUGACUAGUUACCAUCUGGCAGAUACUUGUGUCUUCCUAAAUUAGGGGGUUUUUUUGAGAAAGCUAGAUAUUUUUCUUGCAUAAAUAUUCUCUGCCUGUCAAAUAUUGAAUCCAAAUCUCUUUACAGUACGCAGUACUGAAGGUUUGGAGAGGGGGAGUUUUUACUUUAACAGAGAACACUUUGUACAUCUGGAUACAAAGUGUAUUUAUAUUGAGGGUCCAUUCUCAUGCUUUCCUUGCCUGGGACUACUGAAAUAGAUGCUUAAUAUUGUACAUUCAGAUCUUCCAUUUCAUGAGUUACAGUUUCCUUAAUGUCAGUUUUAAAAUUUUAUCAUCCACAGGACUGAUACAAUGGACCGGUGCUUACAACAAGCAUUACAAAGAUGUCAUUGAUACUUCUGACAUGGCAAUAUAUAUUCAUUUUGGCACAUUUUUAUAAUUUAUGUUUUGUUCUGCAGAAGUAAUUACAGUUUUCUUCAUAUAAUUACUUUUUAAUUUCAUUAGAGAACAUAAUGGUGCAAUAUUUCAUAUUUUCAUUAUAGAAGGCUCCCCAAGACUUUAUUUAACAGUCAGAUUUGUUAUUUGGGCUGAGAAUCAGCUCACAGAUUAAGAAACCUACAUUUAGGUGUCUCACGGGGGUAUCUUUGUCUGAGCAGGGCAUCUAAGCUUCGCAUAUAGUCGGUGCAAAUCUGUCUUUGUAGUCAGUGGAGAUGUCUAAAGAUAUGCUGCUUGGCCUCUGUCUCUGGUUUCAGAAAGGGACAGUUUCCUUUAGCCCUGUGUCAUGUCUGCCAGCCCUGCGUAAGAUGUCUUUCAUACCGCAUUUCUUCUGACACUAAACCAUGUGUGCACGAGCAACUGAGUCAAGUUCCAUUGACUUUGUUGCCUGUAGCAGAAACUUCCUCACCUACUUCUUAUGCAGACACCUAAAUUUAGGUGAUUUGCUCUGCAGAUGGAAACUCCUGCUGACAGCCUAAGAAGUCCAAAGCAUGGAUGUGAAGCUGUGAACUCUUGACAGGUGUUGAGACCCCUGCCCAAGUGACUGUUAUAGACCAAAGACGAUACUGUAGGGCAUAGAAAUGCAUUAGAUGCUUGUAUUUAGGUGAAUGAAUCUAGCCAUCAGCAUCUUGGAACAGAGUAAUGGAACAGUCGCACUUUUCUUUUAAGUAGCUUACUUUGUAUAUAGAAAUAAAUAAUACUAAGAUUUUGAUUCUGAGCUUGUUCACUCCCUCCAGCAAGAUUUGUUCAUCUACAAAAGCAUUAUUCAAGCACAAUAUGAAGAAAAAAUUGAAGAUCAGGCUUCAAAUCUUUGUAAAUACGUAAAUGAUCAACUGACAGACAUUGAGUUUUUACAUAAAUGGGUAAAGAGAAAAAUCCUUGUUGACUUACAUAUUAAUCUUCACUAGAUGCCAGUUCUCAUUCAUAUAACUUCUUUGUGCAGACUGAUACAAUAUUUUACUUAAUGAAAAGUAAUCCACAGAAGUAUUGAAAAUAAGGAAAUAAAGAAAAGUGCUAAUAUAGAUUUAAAAGUGACUGUCUAAGGUGUCUUUGCAAAUUUGCAAUUAAGAGAACAUGGAUUACAUUGUACUUGGCAUAUUAACAACCAUAUCUGGGAAAACUUCUUAAAUUGUAGUGUGGUUAUUUCUAAUAAAAUACUUUAUAACAAUAUUUUAAUAGGCAAGAAACGUAGCACACUUCCUGUGUGUAUAAAUUAUUGACUGUUCUUGUCCCAUGUGUUUGUUUGAAAAUAGUAGUCAAUGAUCUUUAGGUAGUAAGUCACAGCCCAUGCCAACAUUAACACUCCCAAGCAAUCAUAUUGCAGCUAGUGAGCACUCCCUGCAAGGGAGAAAUAUGCAUAAAGCCUCAGUUUCAGGCUUCUGAUAUGAACAUAAAAAACCCAAAUAUUUAAAAAAUCAAUACAGCAAAAAAAAGUUAUAGAAAAGGAACAUGAGCUUAGUAUUUUUUUUUAAGUUCAAGAGCUUUUUAAUUUUCUUAAAUGAAAAAGAAGAGUAUAUAAAAGUUGUUUGGUUUGGUUUUGUAAUUGCUUGUGUCCUUUUGUUGCACAUCAAAGUUCUCAGUAAUUUGUUACACACUGAAUUGCAGAAAGAGGUUCAAAUUCAACAAAGCUACCAACAACAGUCAGGUGAUGCACUGGCUGUUCUCAGAGCAAAUACUGAGGUGGGCUUCAAUUCUUAAUGUGGUAGCAGACUGCUGGUCUGAGUAUUAAUAUGUCAUAAACUAAUUACAGAGAAUAGCUUUGCACUUCAAAAUCUGGAGAAGGGUGUAUUUGGAUUUUUUGUGAAGACUAAGCAUUUAAACUAUAUGGAAUAGAAACAAAAUAAUUAACACAAAAAUAUAGUUGUUUUUACAAGUAUUGUUUUUUCCCCCCCUUAUGCAGUUUAGCAUACUCAAGUACAGGUUUAGGUAAGUAACAUAGUUGCUACAAUAUGAAUGAGGUAUGUUAGUAGAUACCAGUGGAAGAAAGCAAAAAUUACAGGUUUUAAUUUCCUGACUAGUGAAAAACAAUUGACCACAAAGUAGUCAAGCAGUGUAGGAUUAGACCCAAAUAUGCAGUCAGUGCACACUUUUCCAUCUUAUUGAGGGUAGUCAAAUCAAAUGAAGGGAUGAGCAUGCUUUAAUUCACAGCAAAUGAAGGGACCUUGCUUUAAUUGACAGUCUGUGAUUGGGUCUGUUAGGAGGCAGAAACACAGUAAUCACAUAAAAUGCUCUUUGGUUCAGUAAAAAAUGAAAAUAUCUUGAUAAAUUUGGUAGUUGAACUCUAAGGCUACCUAAUAGAGAAUGGUGACCAGUUGUGGGCACUCCAGGUGGCUUUGUACUGCCCUCUAGGGACUGUCCCACUCACUUAUUAACAGAUUUCAGGAUGUAAUUGGAACAGUAAAAAUAAUCCAAAUUAGAAAGUAUAGAACUUAAAUUUCAUCUUUCUUCCCCCACAUGCAAAUGGAGCAUGCAAGUUUGUACUUAUUGACAAAAAAAAGUCAGUAUUUAAAAGAAAGAAAGAAAGAAAAGAGAGAAAAGAAAGAAAGGAAGGAAGAAAUAAAAAAAAUAAACCACUUAUAUGGAUAGUUGGGAAAGGUAGUGGGUAAAAAAAUUUAGCUAUAAUUAUUCUACUGUUGUUUGUACAUAGCCCAGUCAAGUGGAGAUGUAUAGUGGGAAGUGUGUGUAGUAUAUUAACAGCACAUACUGUAUAACACAGUAUGUAGAAAAUCAUAGAGAAUCCUGGAAGGAGAAAAGAACGUGUUGUUUUUACAGAAUGAAUGAUCUGCUAGACAUGUGAAGGGACAGGAGAACAGGUGCACUGGUGAAUGAGUUCAAACCAGCAUUAAUCAUGUGGAUGUUUCAGAGAACAGGGUAGAGAAAUGUGAAGCAAAGGAGGAAAGUUCACAGAAAAGAUACGAGGAACUGUGAGGCUGAGGAAUUUUAAAAAGAUGUGAGAGGAAAUCAGAAUGCUGAAAAGACUGAGCAAGUGACAGAACAUGAUAUGCAUUUCAAGAAUGUUGCAUAGCUUAAAGUGGGUGUUUGGAAGGCAAAAGCUAGGCUUUAGCAGUGAAGGAAAGGGUAGCUUCUGUAAAGAAAGAAACUACAAGAUUUAUUAAGACUUCACAGAGAGUAAAGAUGUUUAUUUUUUACAUUUGUUCUUCUUCAUUCCUGGAUAAUGAUAUGUAGCACCAUCACUUGAAGAAAGAAAUUCUGCUCCAAAACCAAGUGUAAAAUAGGGGGGUGGGGGGGGGGGGGGGGGGUGAGAAUUGUGGAAUGUUCCUAGCAAUUACUUUAAUAGUUUAAGCAGAGUUGGUUUAAAAGAGCGCUGUAGACUAUAUAGACUAUUUGAAGAAAAACUAUGUUCCUUUUAAAAUUAGAUAGAGAAACAUUCCUUUUGGGAAGUAGUCACUUCUGACAAAAAUUAAGGGAGUGGCAUUUGUCUCCUGGAACACUUCAUCAAUAAUGUAGACAUGUUUAUGAUGCAGCUGUGCUGACCUUGCUUUCUUGAUAGUCAAGGCAGAGAAAUAGGUAUUUUUUAGGACACAGUUCAUCUGAUCAAUGUUAGAUACCUACUUAAGGGUGAAUUGAGUUGUCCUCUGGACUCAUCUGACUUUCAACUAAAUCUCCACAGACUAUUAAAAAAGCAAAGUGUGACUAGCUAAAAUGUGAGUGUCUACAUGCGAUCAAGUACUGCUGCACAGACCAUCUAGAAUAAUGCAAACUUCAUUUUGUGUGUGAAAAGUUUUCUUUCCCAAGUCCAGCUCAUGUAAUCACUCCAUGGUGAAAAAUGCAUAUGAAUGCCAUGGAGAAUAUGGUAGCAGUCUUCUCACCAGGGGAUUGCAGGGUCAGGUUCCCUUUGCUUUGCUUUGUCUUUGGAAGAUCUUGCAUUACUCUUGGAUUCUUCUGGUCCAGCUUCAGCAACCAGGUAGAGAUUCGCCUGGUCCCAGGCACGUGUGUAGUUUCGUAGGUAGGGUGCUCUGAGAAAGGAGAACUAACUGAGGUUGAGUCCACUGUGGCUGAGGAAAUGAUUGAACCCUACUUCUUUCACUUCCUCAGCGAGUGCUACAGAUGUUAAUGUCUUACACAAGAGAUAGUAAUUUCUGCUAAUAUUAAUAUUUUAAAGAAGUUGACUGAUACUUAAUCACCUAACCUUGGAGAAUAGGUAUCUCGGUACUCCUGAAGGAAGAGCUCAAACACACUUUUGAGCUUAGUGUUUCCUAAUGGCCAGCCGUUGGCAGUGCACCACCUUGGAGACAUAGUUCUGUAUAAAGGGAGGCUGCACAUGUUGUUUUUCUUUGAAAGUCUUAUUUUUAUUUUUUGAUUACAUAAGAACUAAAUCAUCUAUUGUAGGUGCUCUUUUUUUAUCCUUUAAUGUAAUUUAAACACUUUGCUUGUGCAAUCAAGCAGAUGCAGAAAUAAAUGCCAGUAAUGCAAAGAUACUAUUUUAAUCGUUGAUUUUGUUCAUUCUGUACUUAUGCUGUAUUUUCUCCUUAUUUUAUUUCUUUUAUGUUUUAAAUACAUUCUUUGAUUUAAAAUAUAUAGGAUAUGCAAAUUUUUUCCAAAUUUCCUUUUUCUUUGCUGUGCAUUUGAAUUCUCUAGUAUUAUAGAUUAUGUAUUAGAUAGAACACACUUUUUGUUUAAGCAUUUGAAAUGUCAGAUACAGAAAAUUUUAUUUUGGAUACUAGAACAGAACUCUCGAAUGUAAAAUAUGCAUUAUGAUGUGUUCAAAUUACAAAAAAUAUUCUGUAGCUUUCAAAAGGUUUAUGAGGCUUAUGCAAAGUCUCACUGAAGAAUCUUUUCUUGUAAUAGAAGUAUUACAACAUAAAUGGAGAAGACACAGCAUGUUCACCAGGAAAACUGUUGAAGCUUUUAUGUAACAAACUACACAAGGAAGAGUCCAUAAUUGAAGACCUGGAGAGAAAACUGCAGGAAUACCAAAAAAAAAGGAAGGACUGAAAUGAUAAGCAAGUUCAAAGAAUGCAAUCAAAAAUGGAAGCUGAUGAGCAAGCUGGUCAAAAGUUGAUUGAAAUUCAAGAACAAAUGAAGGCAGAAUUUGAAAAUUAAAGACCAUGAGUUAAAAAUCUGUUUUCAGCACUGCAAGUAGAAGAAAAAGAGAUUAUAAUGAGCAGUCUGCCAAUGCAAAAUGAAACUGAAAUGAUAAUGUCCCUUGGAAAAGGAACAUCUUAUGAAACAGAAACAUUAAACAGAAGAAAGUACUUACUGACAAGUUUCAGAUUACAUAUGUGGUACCUGAGCAGCAAGCUGCUGAAAGAACCCUGACUGCUGAAACAGAGAAACUGAAGAAACAUAAAGAUCAAGAAAGGCAAACCACAGAAAGGAAGGAAGCUGAGCAAAGUGAUACAAGAUGGAAAAAGAAAUUACAAAUUCUACACAACAGGUUUAAUAUUAUUGCAUUGAUUGCAUUGAUAAAAUACUUCAGGCCUAUAGAUUUUCCAAAUUAUAUUUGGGAAAAUUAAGGUAGUUAUAUACAUUAUUAAGUUACCUAGUCAUUAGCAUUUCAGGAUGUAAUAGCUAGGUUUAAAAGAUUGGAAUUAAAUAUUAAUGGUCUGAAUAAUAUACUGUUAACAUGCUUGUAACAAUGAUAAACACUUCAGACAGGUAAUUUUGUAGGCUUGUGUUAAUAGUACUCAGAGUUCUUAAAAACAAAACUUGUUUUGUGUGCUGUUAGACUACAUUUUGUUUAAUGUCUUUCUUAUGGCAAUCUUGAAUGAGAUUUUAAGCUGUUAAUACUCUUUUUUUAGGCUAUUUGUUUCUCUUUGUCUUCUUUCCUAAUGCCCCUCUUUCCCAGAAUUCUUUUUCAUCUCGUUUCGUACUUCACCAUUUUCUGUCACUACACUUGCUCUAUCCCAGAAUCACAGUGCUUGCUUCUGGUUUUCAUGUGAUGGCAGUUCUCCUUUAUGCAUGCUUUUUUACUCAGCCAGUUUUCUCCUCUGCUCUAUCCAUCCUCUUUAGAAUCUUCAUCUUCCUUCUCUAUAUUCAGAAACAUUUUGGCUGAAAAAUGCCAAUCGUCGAAACCCACAAAUUCCCUCUAAUCAUCAAAUGUAAUGAACUUCUAGCAAAAGAACACGAAGGCUCCCAUGGAGCUCUGCUCAGGGUCAUGGAGACCGGCUGAGAGUUGUAGUGCUUCUAGGUCACACAGCCCCAGCACAACUGCUCGGGGCGUCGCUUUCUGAUUUGCCGUGAAGCUGUGACUGAGAUUGAAAACCUUGUAAAGCUAUGAAUUCCCUUGGUCUAAAGCUGGUCCUAGUAUAAAUCUUGCCCAUUGAAAAAGCCUUAUGCUGUUUUCUGGGGCAAGUAGCACUGGGACAGCCAGAUAUGCUAGGACUACGCCUAUACUAACAAAUUUUUAAUGGUGUAGAUACUCACAUUUGUCCUUGGGUCUUGGCUCUCUGUCAGCCUCGGUGUGUCUCUAUUGCUUCACUCAUAUUCUUUUUUGGAAUAGAGCAACCAGUUCCUCAAGACAAAACCCUAGAGCAGUUCUGGUACUGGUUUGUUCCCUAUAGGCAGUACAGAUGAGAUGGUACAUCCACGUCGCAUCAGACCACAUCUCAGAACACACAAUAUCUGUCUUUGGAAACAUGCUAUAAAAACACCUCUCUCAUAGGCCAUGACAUAGCCCAGUGCUAUUUUAGUUCGAAAACUCCCGACUAAGAAUAUCUAAAAUCCACACAUGUGCCCCAUGGGACCCAGCCAGGCCCAGUAUGAGCACAACUAGUCCACUCUGGAGGUCACUAGUACUGAUCAGUGUGGACAACAAGUUGUGCGGCAUGUCUUAGGUCUAUGAUUUUCCCCCUGCAGCAAAAUAUUUUAGUAGUGCAUAGCUUAUAUAGUGUGCUCAGCAUCUUUAUUGUCUGAAGAAACACGCAGGAUUUGCUAAGGCUGAACUCCACAACAUGCAAAUAGUGUGGAAAACCUUGGUAGCCUCCAUUCUAAUGAGGGCUGCCAGAGCUUCCAGAGCUAUGAACCUAGGAACUAGAGUCUGAAAGCUCUGGAACAAGAUGUGGAAGCUGUAGGGUUUACAGCCAGAGGUAGUUUGCAUGUGAGUGUUGCCUGGAAUGGAAGAGUGGGAAAGCCCUAGCAGAUACCAAAGGACUGUAAUAUGUUCUUGGUGGUAUCUUUGCUACUGUUGUAGGGAUGAAUCAGACACACUUUAACUUUAAAUUCAUGGAGUCCUGAAGGAAUCUAUUUAAUAAUGUAAGCAUCAUAUUUUGCUCUUUCCAAGAUUUUUUUUUUUCUUUUUUUUUUUCAGAAUUUCAAGUUUACUUCAAAUUUAUCUGGACUGAUACCAAAUUUUAAAGAACAAAAUUUCCCACCAACUGCACAUUCUACUGUAUUUCAGAUGGUCCUUUUCCUGUAUUUUUUUAAUCUACACAACACCAAAGGUGUGUAAAUGCAGUAAUUCCUGUCCUACAAAUGGUAGGUACAUCUACUGCACAGCAAACCCUCUGUAUUGUACUUCGUGCUUGUUUAGUUUGAUACAAUAUCUCUAAGGUCAGGGGAUAGUUUCUCAUUAAGUUCAGCAUUCAUUGAAAUAGGCCCCGAGUUAUCUUCUCAUCUGAAAAUGGUGAGAAUAGACUACAUUGAUCAUACAAUGACAUUGUUAUCAGUGUUUUUAGUAAUAAUGCAAGUCUCCGUAGAAAAAUAAAGUUAUAUUAUUCUUACCAGGUCUACUUUAAUGAGUAUACACUGUGUUACCUGAAUAGGUAGGUACUGGAGGAUUUUUUUAACAGAGCCCAUUAAAAUUACUUGCUUAAAUAAGAGAUUAAUUUGUCAUUUUAUACAUAGCUAAUCAUUGUAACAUCAUAGAAACAGGUUCGUUUUGAUGAAAAGCCAAUUAAUGAUGAGAUCUAAAUAGACUACAGGAACAAACUUAUUUUUGCUUCAUUUUUUUCUGAAAGUUUAUUAAAGAACCAUGCAAAUUAUCUUUUCAUGACACUGUGACUCUCUGGGCAGCAGAUAUUUGUCUUUAAUUUAGCCUGUGUAUUGUUAUUAUUUUGUUAUACUCAUAUUUUUCAAAAAACAACUAUAAAAUAUGUGAGCCCUCUUGUGGCCAAAAUACCUUCUAUGUGUCCUAUGAAAUCAUCAAAGACUGUGUGGUCUGGUGAAUUAAGUCCCUGAAAAAUAUCUAGAGAACAUUGAAUGUAAAUUUGUUUAGUUAGUACUUCUAAUGUCAGUUCUUCAUUUGUCAUAACAACUCAAUUCAUUUAAGUUUUCCUUUACAUCUUUCUUAAUUUACUGUUUGUAGCUAAAAUGCCCAUGAAGUUACCAGACACAACCAGGGCACAGAACUCCAAGAUUUCUAAUAACUUUGUCCAUUGUGGUAUAAUUGCCAUGAAAGGUGCUAGUUAAUGUGAAAUGUUUUUUUGUGAAGAUCUUUUUUACGAUACAGGAGUUUUUUACUUUAAAAUCUUCUACAUAUCAAUGAUUUAAGUCAUAGGACCAAACAUGACUUUCAGUCAGAGUUGUCUUUUAGUUAUUACUGAACUGGAGCUGAACUCCGUGCUGAUUUUGAGGCAGAAGAGAUGAUAUUUCAUUGCCACUUAUCACUCUUUCCUCACAAAUUCAAAGGAAAAUAAUCCAAAUCAUCUGAACUACAUACUCUUAUUUAAGAAAAAUUCUUAUCACCUGAUACAAUAAUUUUCAUCUUUUUUGAGGUUUUUUGCUUCCCUUCAAUAAAAAGGUCUGUUUCUGCAGUGUAAUACCUUUCUUUGUAAAGAAAGAGGAAAAAUUUUACAGCUGUUCAAAUUACCUCAUGAACUGGACCUUGAGAAAUGAGGUAGCAAUUUUCAUUGAUUAGAUAAAAUAUCAGCACUCUGUGGUUAAAGUUAUAGUAAAUUUACAGACAGGAAAAGGAUGGUAUUUUAAAUUCAAAGUGUUUAUUCUACUCCUCACAGAUUUUUCCACUGCAUAAGGUCUGUUACUUUACUUAUACAUUUAAUGUAAUAUAUUAAUGGCAUUUUAAUGUAUGUAUGUCCCAUGGAUUGCUGAACGCUUACUGGUUAUUUGUUCUAAUUUUGCUGAUCGAUAGCGUUUGCUUAAUUAUUUCCCCUGAGGCCUUAAAAAGAUCCAUAAAAGUACAUUUCUUUGUACUUUUUUUUCUUUGGCUAUUUUAAAGUUGUGCUGGAGAGUAUUGGUUGCAAUAUCUUAACCUUCUUCCAUAUCACAGUGUUUGUGAUACUUGUGUAAAAUUAUUUAUUUAUGACACACCUAUAUAUAUAUGUUAAAGAAAUGUAAACUAUCAACACAUCUAUUUAUAUUUUUCUGGUUUAAUCUGAUCUUUUAUUUUUGUUUUUCUGCUAUUUUUAUUCAUGUUUAUCACAAUCUUUUCAGUAGUA